RNAcentral lists this long non-coding RNA (2303 nucleotides) under Mus musculus (house mouse). Its description in RNAcentral is "long non-coding RNA chr8:111942674-111944977". The record is from RNAcentral. Lineage: Eukaryota; Metazoa; Chordata; Mammalia; Rodentia; Muridae.
GUAAGAAGUGUUUGCUAGCUGGGCCUGUGGCUUGGAAAUCCAUUCGCCGCUUAUAAAACUCAAACCAUAGGAGGUGUUCUUAGUACAACUUCUUCCUUUCCUUUUCCUUCCUUCCUUCCUUCUUUCCUUCCCUCCCUCCCUCCCUCCCUUCCUCUCUUUCCCUAUCCCUCCCUCUUUCUCUCUUUUGGUUUUUCAAGAUAGUUUAUUUCCUCCUUUUUUUAAUUAGAUAUUUUCUUUAUUUACAUUUCAAAUGUUAUCCGGAAAGUUCCUUAUACCUCCCCCCAUGCCCUGCUCCCCUACCCACCCACUCACACUUCUUGGCCCUGGCGUUCCCCUGUACUGAGGCAUAUAAAGUUUGCAAGACCAAGGGGCCUCUCUUUCCAAUGAUGGCCAACUAAGCCAUCUUCUGCUACAUAUGCAGCUAGAGACACAAGCUCUGGGGGUACUGGUUAGUUCAUUUUGUUGUUCCACCUAUAGGGUUGCAGACCCCCUUCAGCUCCUUGGGUACUUUCUCUGGCUCCUCCAUUGGGGCCCCUAUGUUCCAUCCUAUAGAUGACUGUGAGCAGCAUCCACUUCUGUAUUUGCUAGGCACUGGCAUAGCCUCACUGAAGCUAUAUCAGGGUCCUUUCCGCAAAAUCUUUCUGGCAUAUGCAAUAGUGUCUGGGUUUGGUAACUGAUUAUGGGAUGGAUCACUGGGUGGGGUAGUCUCUGGAUAGUCCAUCCUUUUGUCUUAGCUCCAAACUUUGUCUCUAACUCCUUCCAUGGGUGUUUUGUUACCUAUCCCAAGGAUGAAUGAAGUAUUCACACGUUGGUCUUGCCUCUUGAUUUUUCUUGUUUUGCAAAUUGUAUCUUGGGUAUUCUAAGUUUCUGGGCUAAUAUCCACUUAUCAGUGAGUGCAUAUCAAGUGACUUUUGUGGGUUGUUUCUUUUAUGUAGCCUUGGUUGUCCUUGAACUUUUAAACCAGGCUGACCUUGAACUCAUCCUGCUGCCUCCCUGGAAUUGAAGGCAUGAGCUACCACACCCAACUUUUUUUUCCGAGACAGGGUUUCUCUGUGUAGCCCCAGCUGUCCUGGAACUCUGUAGACCAGGCUGGCCUUGAACUCAGAAAUCCACCUGCCUCUGCAUACCAACUGCUGGGAUUAAAGGCGUGCUCCACCACACCCAGCUACUUUCACUUUUAAAAAAUUUUUAUUCCACACCCAACUCUUAAUUUGCAUAUCAAUAGCUUUAGGGGAUGGCUAAGGGCAUUUAUGUUUGAAUUAAUUUUAAGAGUAUCUGGUGUUAUUUGAUGUAUAUGGGUGUGUGCUUGUAUCUGUGUAAAGUUCAGAGGACAACAUCUGGAGUUGAUUCUCUUCCACAUUAGCACUCAGGUUGUAAGGCUUCCUGACUAGAGCUUUUACUUUAAGCCUUCUAGCAUACAUCUGGAGACAGGGUCUCUCACUGAACCUUGAGCUUACUGAUCUAAACAUAGGUCCACUUGCUCACAGAGUAAGUCAUCUCCCCAGACCCAGAUCUGGACUUUAACAUGCACCCAGAAGUUGACUAAGAUACCCUGUGUUGACCUGGCCUCCACACACACAUGUGCAAACCCCAUGCCCUCAACAAAUUACUCCUCAAAUCCUUCACAACUUUUUUGGCCAUAAGCCAUAGGUAGAACUGAGGCCUGCGAUGAGGGUCUCAUCUAUUUUUUUUUUUUUUACAGAUUUAUUUAUUUUAUCUGUAUGAGUACACUGUAGGUGUCUUCAGAUACACCAUAAGAGGGCAUUAGAUCUCAUUACAGAUGGUUGUGAGCCACCAUGUGAUUGCUGGGAAUUGAACUCAGGACUUCUGGAAGAGCAAUCUGUGUUCUUAACCCCUGAGCCAUCUCUCCAGCCCUGGGUCUCAUUGAUUCAUUUAAACUGUUUCCUUUUCUCUCUACCAGGGACCAGAAUUUAGGCAGGGGCCAUGUAGCUCACAGCCUGUUUUUAACUCCCCUGGGGAAGGAAAAUCGACUAGCUUGGCUGAGACUUGGUUACUCCUUUCCCAUUAAUGACUGGGCAUUUAAAACCCUGAGUCAUAUUUCAGCUUUCAUGUGUCUCCCCAGUGGGGAUUCCUUGUUACAUCUAAUUUAGUGACCUAAACUAGCUAGGGGGCUAGCCUAGUUUGUAGGAACAAGAUUCACUGAGAACUACAAAAGAUGCCAGAUGUGGUGGCAUACUGGACCACAUGCACACACAUACGCAUACACACACACACAGCUCUUAGUUUGAUUGGGAAUUAAAGAAUUCCUAUACAGUGACCCUGGGCUCUACAGUGACUCUAUC